This 253-nucleotide ribosomal RNA is filed under the name uncultured bacterium. RNAcentral's name for it is "partial 16S ribosomal RNA". It matches the Rfam family "Bacterial small subunit ribosomal RNA", at positions 524 to 776 of the family's 1533-position model. The record is from RNAcentral.
UACGAAGGGGGCUAGCGUUGCUCGAAAUGACUGGGCGUAAAGGGCGCGUAGGCGGCGGUCACAGUCAGAUGUGAAAUUCCUGGGCUUAACCUGGGGGCUGCAUUUGAUACGUGGUUGCUUGAGUGGGGAAGAGGGUCGUGGAAUUCCCAGUGUAGAGGUGAAAUUCGUAGAUAUUGGGAAGAACACCGGUGGCGAAGGCGGCGACCUGGUCCUUGACUGACGCUGAGGCGCAAAAGCGUGGGGAGCAAACAGG